GACGAACGCUGGCGGCGUGCUUAACACAUGCAAGUCGAACGGUGACGGAGAGCUUGCUCUCCUGAUCAGUGGCGAACGGGUGAGUAACACGUGGGCAACCUGCCCAGACUUCGGGAUAACGCUUCGAAAGAGGUGCUAAUACCGGAUACGAGCUCCUUGGGCAUCCUUGGAGUUGGAAAAGUUUUUCGGUCUGGGAUGGGCCCGCGGCCUAUCAGCUAGUUGGUGAGGUAACGGCUCACCAAAGGCGACGACGGGUAGCCGGCCUGAGAGGGCGACCGGCCACACUGGGACUGAGACACGGCCCAGACUCCUACGGGAGCAGCAGUGGGGAAUAUUGCGCAAUGGGCGAAAGCCUGACGCAGCAACGCCGCGUGAGGGAUGACGGCCU
RNAcentral lists this ribosomal RNA (388 nucleotides) under uncultured bacterium. RNAcentral describes it as "bacterial SSU rRNA". It matches the Rfam family "Bacterial small subunit ribosomal RNA", at positions 28 to 417 of the family's 1533-position model. The record is from RNAcentral.